CCUACGGGAGGCAGCAGUGGGGAAUAUUGCGCAAUGGGCGAAAGCCUGACGCAGCGACGCCGCGUGAGGGAUGAAGGUCUUCGGAUCGUAAACCUCUGUCAGCAGGGAAGAACGGUCACUGGGCUAAUCAGCAGUGAAUUGACGGUACCUGCAAAGCAAGCACCGGGUAACUCCGUGCCAGCAGCCGCGGUAAUACGGAGGGUGCGAGCGUUAAUCGUAAUUACUGGGCGUAAAGCGCGCGUAGGCGGUAUGUCAAGUCACGGGUGAAAUCCCCGGGCUCAACGUGGGAACUGCCUUUGAAACUGGCAAGCUGGAGUGUGGGAGAGGAUAGUGGAAUUCCAGGUGUAGGGGUGAAAGCCGUAGAGAUCUGGAGGAACAACAGUGGCGAAGGCGACUAUCUGGAACAUAACUGACGCUGAGGAGCGAAAGCGUGGGUAGCAAACAGGAUUAGAUACCCUGGUAGUC
This 465-nucleotide ribosomal RNA is filed under the name uncultured bacterium. RNAcentral's name for it is "partial 16S ribosomal RNA". It matches the Rfam family "Bacterial small subunit ribosomal RNA", at positions 338 to 795 of the family's 1533-position model. The record is from RNAcentral.